UGCUGGAAUCACUCCUGGCAG
RNAcentral lists this unclassified non-coding RNA (21 nucleotides) under Mus musculus (house mouse). RNAcentral's name for it is "oocyte_clustered_small_RNA6559". The record is from RNAcentral. Lineage: Eukaryota; Metazoa; Chordata; Mammalia; Rodentia; Muridae.